GUAACGCGUGGGUAACCUGCCUCACACAGGGGAUAACAGUUGGAAACGGCUGCUAAUACCGCAUAAGCGCACAGUACCGCAUGGUACAGUGUGAAAAACUCCGGUGGUGUGAGAUGGAUCCGCGUCUGAUUAGCUAGUUGGCAGGGCAACGGCCUACCAAGGCGACGAUCAGUAGCCGACCUGAGAGGGUGACCGGCCACAUUGGGACUGAGACACGGCCCAA
RNAcentral lists this ribosomal RNA (223 nucleotides) under uncultured bacterium. RNAcentral describes it as "partial 16S ribosomal RNA". It matches the Rfam family "Bacterial small subunit ribosomal RNA", at positions 110 to 334 of the family's 1533-position model. The record is from RNAcentral.